CCUACGGGAGGCAGCAGUGAGGAAUAUUGGUCAAUGGACGAGAGUCUGAACCAGCCAAGUAGCGUGAAGGAUGACUGCCCUAUGGGUUGUAAACUUCUUUUAUAAAGGAAUAAAACGAGGCACGUGUGCCUUUUUGCAUGUACUUUAUGAAUAAGGAUCGGCUAACUCCGUGCCAGCAGCCGCGGUAAUACGGAGGAUCCGAGCUUUAUCCGUAUUUAUUGGGUUUAAAGGGAGCGUAGAUGGGUUGUUAAGUCAGUUGUGAAAGUUUGCGGCUCAACCGUAAAAUUGCAAUUGAUACUGGCAGUCGUGAGUACAGUUGAGGUAGGCGGAAUGCGUGGUGUAGCGGUGAAAUGCUUAGAUAUCACGAAGAACCCCGAUUGCGAAGGCAGCUUACUAAACUGUGACUGACAUUGAUGCUCGAAAGUGUGGGUAUCAAACAGGAUUAGAUACCCUAGUAGUC
RNAcentral lists this ribosomal RNA (460 nucleotides) under uncultured bacterium. RNAcentral describes it as "partial 16S ribosomal RNA". It matches the Rfam family "Bacterial small subunit ribosomal RNA", at positions 338 to 795 of the family's 1533-position model. The record is from RNAcentral.